This 405-nucleotide ribosomal RNA is filed under the name uncultured bacterium. RNAcentral describes it as "partial 16S ribosomal RNA". It matches the Rfam family "Bacterial small subunit ribosomal RNA", at positions 28 to 526 of the family's 1533-position model. The record is from RNAcentral.
GACGAACGCUGGCGGCGUGCUUAACACAUGCAAGUCGAACGAGUGGCGAACGGGUGAGUAACACGUGGGUGAUCUGCCUUGCACUUCGGGAUAAGCUUGGGAAACUGGGUCUAAUACCGGCUAGUGCAAGAUGAGCUCGCGGCCUAUCAGCUUGUUGGUGGGGUAAUGGCUACCAAGGCGCGACGGGUAGCCGGCCUGAGAGGGUGUACGGCCAAAUUGGGACUGAGAUACGGAACAGAAUCGUACGGGAGGCAGAAGUAGGGAAUCGUAGGAAAGGGGGGGAACACUGACCGAGAAAAGCCGCGGGAGUGAGGAAGGUUUUCGGAAAGUAAAGCUCUGUUGUUAAGGAAGCGGUACUUAACCAGAAAGGGACGGCUAACUACGUGCCAGCAGCCGCGGUAAUAC